CCCAGCGGUAGUCAGCUGCCCGUUGCUGCUCCGUGCUGGGGUCGGUGUUAUGCCGCUGGGAGAGAAACGCGCCGCCGAGUCGCUCCUGGCGCCGCCGGGGCUGUUCUAGUGCCGGCCGGGCCGGGUUUCGGCAGCGCUCUGCAUGCUUGAGAGUGGAGCGACUCCUGCGUGGAGUCAGUCCUGGAUUGGAUGCAGACAGC
Molecule: non-coding RNA, 200 nt
Organism: Columba livia (rock pigeon)
Lineage: Eukaryota; Metazoa; Chordata; Aves; Columbiformes; Columbidae
Source: Rfam